Molecule: ribosomal RNA, 492 nt
Filed under: uncultured bacterium
Lineage: Bacteria
Description: partial 16S ribosomal RNA
Rfam family: Bacterial small subunit ribosomal RNA
Source: RNAcentral
AGUGAACGCUGGCGGUAGGCCUAACACAUGCAAGUCGAACGGCAGCACAGUAAGAGCUUGCUCUUACGGGUGGCGAGUGGCGGACGGGUGAGGAAUACAUCGGAAUCUACUUUUUCGUGGGGGAUAACGUAGGGAAACUUACGCUAAUACCGCAUACGACCUACGGGUGAAAGCAGGGGAUAUUCGGACCUUGCGCGAUUGGAUGAGCCGAUGUCGGAUUAGCUAGUUGGCGGGGUAAAGGCCCACCAAGGCGACGAUCCGUAGCUGGUCUGAGAGGAUGAUCAGCCACACUGGAACUGAGACACGGUCCAGACUCCUACGGGAGGCAGCAGUGGGGAAUAUUGGACAAAGGGCGCAAGCCUGAUCCAGCCAUACCGCGUGGGUGAAGAAGGCCUUCGGGUUGUAAAGCCCUUUUGUUGGGAAAGAAAAGCAGCAGGUUAAUACCCCGCUGUUCUGACGGUACCCAAAGAAUAAGCACCGGCUAACUUCGUG